AACACUGGCUGAAUCUGUGCAGGUCAUUAGUCUGUAUGUGAUCACUGAGACGCAGCCAUGUUAGAUGUUAGCAAAAAAAUCAACUGGAGCAGCAGCACCUUCAAUACUCACGCGUCUCAGUGUCACAUACAGACUAAUGACCUGCACAGCUUCAGCCAGUGUUAAUAAGUCCACCUUUAGUUCAUUUUGCCUCGUUUCUGGGAGGGAGGGGGAGUUUCAGGAGAGCAAGUCUUCAUGUAACAGGACUUGUAAAACUACGAUGCUGACUGACUGCAGGGGGAGGGGCUGAGCAGGAGCUUGUUACGGAGGCUUUCUUUUCACAUAACUUUCUGGAAGGGAGGGGGAGCUGCCGAAAGAGAGCAGCUGAGUGUAAAAAAAAGAGUUUUAAAAGCACUAUAAGUACUGGGGCUGGCUCUAAAGAGGAAAAGGAUCAAUCCAGCAGGGCACAAAUAACGGAGCCAUUAAUUAUGCUGCCUCCACACAGUUCAAGAUUGACAGCACUGAUAGCCAAUGAGAGUGAGUUGUUAUGCAAAGAAACUCGACUCCGACGCCAGAGCUAGCCAGAGGCAGGUGCUAAUGGAGAAGGGAAAGACGAACACCAAGAGUUAUCUCGAUUAUCUCUCCAGAUGUUUAUUGCUGUCUUUAGAGUUGCAGGUGAUGUAUUUAUUGCAUAUUCUACUUCUUGAUGAGUGAUGGGGGCUUUUAGAAGGUCUUUUUGAUCAUUAUUUAAACAAGGCUGCUUUUUGAAUGAAGAGUCCACGAACAGAAGCUUUGUGAGCACACCAUUGUGUCUGUAAUGAAGUCUCCUUGGAGUUAUUAAUCUCAAAAUAAUCUCUCAAACUAUUGUUAUAAAAAUCCCUGUCACUUAUUUUAUUUAAUAAAGAUUCAUUUAACCUC
Molecule: long non-coding RNA, 897 nt
Organism: Xenopus laevis (African clawed frog)
Lineage: Eukaryota; Metazoa; Chordata; Amphibia; Anura; Pipidae
Exons: 4
Source: RefSeq, a predicted model, not a curated record